RNAcentral lists this ribosomal RNA (301 nucleotides) under uncultured bacterium. Its description in RNAcentral is "partial 16S ribosomal RNA". It matches the Rfam family "Bacterial small subunit ribosomal RNA", at positions 509 to 807 of the family's 1533-position model. The record is from RNAcentral.
CAGCCGCCGCGGGAAUACGUAGGGUGCAAGCGUUAAUCGGAAUUACUGGGCGUAAAGCGUGCGUAGGCGGUUCGUUAAGUCUGUUGUGAAAGCCCCGGGCUCAACCUGGGAAUGGCAAUGGAUACUGGCGAGCUAGAGUGUGUCAGAGGAUGGUGGAAUUCCCGGUGUAGCGGUGAAAUGCGUAGAGAUCGGGAGGAACAUCAGUGGCGAAGGCGGCCAUCUGGGACAACACUGACGCUGAGGCACGAAAGCGUGGGGAGCAAACAGGAUUAGAUACCCCCGUAGUCCCUGUCUCUUAUAC